This is a long non-coding RNA of Anguilla anguilla (European eel), 420 nucleotides long. RefSeq lists it as uncharacterized. The record is from RefSeq and is a predicted model, not a curated record. NCBI's taxonomy places the organism in Eukaryota, Metazoa, Chordata, Actinopteri, Anguilliformes, Anguillidae. The transcript has 3 exons.
UCUAUAUACGCUGAGUCACAGAGUCAGGUCUGUACCACGCUGUGUACACCUCUCUAUAUACACUGAGUCACAGAGUCAGGUCUGUACCACGCUGUGUACACCUCUGCAUAUACACUGAGUCACAGAGUCAGGUCUGUACCACGCUGUGUACACCUCUCUAUAUACACUGAGUCACAGAGUCAGGUCUGUACCACGCUGUGUACACCUCUACAUGUAUAUAGUGUAACUGAAAGCAGUGGUGUUCUAGAAGGCCAUUGCUUUCGAUUACCAGUAGUGAUUGUUACAUCAGCAUUAGAAUGUUCAGUUAAGAACAUUCUAAUCACACAUUUGUGACCUCACACUUUGAAAGGGUUAAGUGUGUAAGUGUGUGUGUGUGUGUGUCAGACGGCAGCCAUGUGUCCCGCGCUCUGAUUUCCGUUU